UUGCUGUAGUAUCAUGCGGACUAACAUCGGAACAAUGCAGAGAAGUUUAGUAUGGCCCCUGUGUGGGAAUGACCUGCACAUCUGUGAAGUGUUCUAGAUUGUG
This is a small nuclear RNA of Dipodomys ordii (Ord's kangaroo rat), 103 nucleotides long. NCBI's taxonomy places the organism in Eukaryota, Metazoa, Chordata, Mammalia, Rodentia, Heteromyidae. The record is from Ensembl.